This 253-nucleotide ribosomal RNA is filed under the name uncultured bacterium. Its description in RNAcentral is "partial 16S ribosomal RNA". It matches the Rfam family "Bacterial small subunit ribosomal RNA", at positions 524 to 776 of the family's 1533-position model. The record is from RNAcentral.
UACAUGUGGGGCAAGCGUUGUUCGGAAUUACUGGGCAUAAAGGGUGCGUAGGCGGUUUGUUAAGUCACAGGUGAAAGUUUUCGGCCCAACCGGAAAAUUGCCCGUGAUACUGGCGAACUUGAGUGCGUGAGGGGUGGGGGGAACGAGCAGUGUAGCGGUGAAAUGCGUAGAUAUUGGGAGGAACACCAGUGGCGAAGGCGGCUCACUGGACCGGUACUGACGCUGAGGCGCGAAAGCGUGGGGAGCAAACGGG